UCAUUGACUUGCUCUGCAUGGUAGGCUCCCUGCACGUAUGUGCGGCCAACUAUCAUGGGGCUUGUCUUUUCAAUAACCCUUUGAUAAGCAUUAUUGCUAUAUCUUAGGAUGUUUUCUUUUGGUGGCCUGUUUUGUUCUACCCUUGUUGGUAGUUUGAUUGACCUGUUUUGUGUCUCUAGCUUGCUUUGUUGAUGUUAUUCAUCAACGGGCAGUUGAGGUGUUAGCAAAUCCCAUGUGUUGCCCAUGCUCUUGUGCCUUGGUGUUGCAUUUGGAUGUUUGCUGGUUCUCACGGAUAUUGUGCCUAUUGUGAGUUCUAUGGGCUUCAUGCUUGUAGACUUUGUGUGGUUGCCCUUGCACUAAUCAUUGCUGCUAAGGUGUCUCAGACAUGUUGUCGUUUCCACGCCAUGCAUGGAGGCCUCUAAUAAUACGCGACGUGAUUAGUGCUUGUGGCGUGCCUCUUCGAUCAAUUAAUUGACUAGCGAUUGCUUGUUUGUGUUGUCAUAAGG
RNAcentral lists this unclassified non-coding RNA (506 nucleotides) under Cyperus ajax. RNAcentral describes it as "partial external transcribed spacer 1f". The record is from RNAcentral. Lineage: Eukaryota; Viridiplantae; Streptophyta; Magnoliopsida; Poales; Cyperaceae.